AGGACGAACGCUGGCGGCGUGCCUAACACAUGCAAGUCGAGCGGAAAGGCCUCCUUCGGGAGGUACUCGAGCGGCGAACGGGUGAGUAACACGUGGGCAACCAACCCCUCACAUCGGGAUACCCCGGGGAAACUCGGAUCAAUACCGGAUAAUGCGCGACGCUGUUGGGCGUCGCACCAAAGGUAGCUUCGGCCUCUGGUGAGGGACGGGCCCGCGGCCCAUUAGCUUGUUGGUGGGUAACGGCCUACCAAGGCAACGAUCGGUAU
RNAcentral lists this ribosomal RNA (266 nucleotides) under uncultured bacterium. RNAcentral's name for it is "partial small subunit ribosomal RNA". It matches the Rfam family "Bacterial small subunit ribosomal RNA", at positions 26 to 286 of the family's 1533-position model. The record is from RNAcentral.